UUUUAAAUGGCCGCAGUAUUUUGACUGUGCAAAGGUAGCAUAAUCAUUAGUUUUUUAAUUAAAAGCUUGUAUGAAAGGCUGGACGAGGUAAAAUCUGUCUCUAUUUAAAUUAUAGUAGAAUUUAACUUUUAAGUUAAAAGGCUUAAAUAUUAUUAAAAGACGAGAAGACCCUAUAGAUCUUUAUAGUUUAUUAAAUUAAGUUAAUUUAGAAAUAUUAAUGUUUUAUUUAAUUAAAUUAUUUUAUUGGGGUAAUAAAAAGAUUGAAUUAAUUCUUUUUUAUAAUAAACAUUAAUUUAUGAAUAUUAAUGAUCCAGUUUUACUGAUUAUAAGAUUAAGUUACCUUAGGGAUAACAGCGUAAUUUUUUUAGAGAGUUCAUAUCGAUAAAAAAGUUUGCGACCUCGAUGUUGGAUUAAAGAUUAUUUUAGGUGUAGAAGCUUAAUAAUUUUGGUCUGUUCGACCAUUAAAUCUUUACAUGAUCUGAGUUCAGACCGGCGUAAGCCAGGUCGGUUUCUAUCUUUAAUAAAAUAAAAUAUUUUAGUACGAAAGGACCAAAUAUUUGAUAUAUUUAUAUUUAAUUUAUUGAAUAUUA
RNAcentral lists this ribosomal RNA (590 nucleotides) under Carabus lusitanicus lusitanicus. RNAcentral's name for it is "partial large subunit ribosomal RNA". It matches the Rfam family "Bacterial large subunit ribosomal RNA", at positions 1921 to 2748 of the family's 2925-position model. The record is from RNAcentral. Lineage: Eukaryota; Metazoa; Arthropoda; Insecta; Coleoptera; Carabidae.